UAUAAGCAUCAGCAACAGUAGAGUGGUUCGGCAACUUGAACUCAACUCAGUUGACGUCAAGUCGGAGCAUAGCAGCAUUACAGUAGAUGAGACAAAGUGAGAAUAAGAGGAAGAGAGAGAGAUAUAAGGGGCAUACAAAACAGCCAUGCGAAACCUGCUGCACUGCUUGAAGAUGGCACACCACAAGUAACAAUACAAAUUAUUAUCGAGUCGAUGAAAAACUAAACUAGAAUAUUAAAUGUUGAUCGAUCUUUAAUAUUCAUCACGAGAAGUCGAUUUGAUGAUGCACUCGUGCUGUGAAGAUAAUGGAUCUGGAGUCAUUUUUAAUGAGAAAUUUAAAUUAAUAAUCUUUGUGAUAAAUAUUGACAAGUUAAUUUGAGUAAAAAGAUAAAAAAUAUUAAUUAUGUUAUGAAUUGUUUUUUUAUUUAUGAUGUUU
Long non-coding RNA from Microplitis mediator, 436 nucleotides. RefSeq lists it as uncharacterized. Lineage: Eukaryota; Metazoa; Arthropoda; Insecta; Hymenoptera; Braconidae. The transcript has 3 exons. The record is from RefSeq and is a predicted model, not a curated record.